Molecule: ribosomal RNA, 446 nt
Filed under: uncultured bacterium
Lineage: Bacteria
Description: bacterial SSU rRNA
Rfam family: Bacterial small subunit ribosomal RNA
Source: RNAcentral
GCCAGACUCCUACGGGAGGCAGCAGUGGGGAAUAUCGCACAAUGGGGGAAACCCUGAUGCAGCGACGCCGCGUGAGCGAGGAAGUAUUUCGGUAUGUAAAGCUCUGUCAGCAGGGAAGAAGAAUGACGGUACCUGAAGAAGAAGCACCGGCUAAAUACGUGCCAGCAGCCGCGGUAAUACGUAUGGUGCAAGCGUUAUCCGGAUUUACUGGGUGUAAAGGGAGCGCAGGCGGUUCUGCAAGUCUGAUGUGAAAGCCCGGGGCUCAACCGCGGGACUGCAUUGGAAACUGCGGGACCGGAGUGUCGGAGGGGUAAGCGGAAUUCCUGGUGUAGCGGUGAAAUGCGUAGAUAUCAGGAGGAACACCGGUGGCGAAGGCGGCUUACUGGACGAUGACUGACGCUGAGGCUCGAAAGCGUGGGGAGCAAACAGGAUUAGAUACCCUGGUA